RNAcentral lists this ribosomal RNA (288 nucleotides) under uncultured bacterium. RNAcentral's name for it is "partial 16S ribosomal RNA". It matches the Rfam family "Bacterial small subunit ribosomal RNA", at positions 773 to 1060 of the family's 1533-position model. The record is from RNAcentral.
GUGGAUUAGAUACCCUGGUAGUCCACGCUGUAAACGAUGUCGACUUGGAGGUUGUUCCCUUGAGGAGUGGCUUCCGGAGCUAACGCGUUAAGUCGACCGCCUGGGGAGUACGGCCGCAAGGUUAAAACUCAAAUGAAUUGACGGGGGCCCGCACAAGCGGUGGAGCAUGUGGUUUAAUUCGAUGCAACGCGAAGAACCUUACCUACUCUUGACAUCCAGAGAACUUAGCAGAGAUGCUUUGGUGCCUUCGGGAACUCUGAGACAGGUGCUGCACGGUCGUCGACAACU